CAGUAGCCGCGGUAAUACAGAGGGUGCGAGCGUUAAUCGGAUUUACUGGGCGUAAAGCGUGCGUAGGCGGCUUCUUAAGUCGGAUGUGAAAUCCCUGAGCUUAACUUAGGAAUUGCAUUCGAUACUGGGAAGCUAGAGUAUGGGAGAGGAUGGUAGAAUUCCAGGUGUAGCGGUGAAAUGCGUAGAGAUCUGGAGGAAUACCGAUGGCGAAGGCAGCCAUCUGGCCUAAUACUGACGCUGAGGUACGAAAGCAUGGGGAGCAAACAGGAUUAGAUACCCCUGUGUCCCUGUCUCUUAUACC
Molecule: ribosomal RNA, 301 nt
Filed under: uncultured bacterium
Lineage: Bacteria
Description: partial 16S ribosomal RNA
Rfam family: Bacterial small subunit ribosomal RNA
Source: RNAcentral